This 125-nucleotide non-coding RNA is filed under the name Cupriavidus taiwanensis. RNAcentral's name for it is "pfl". It matches the Rfam family "ZMP/ZTP riboswitch aptamer (pfl RNA motif)". From Rfam's summary of the family: Previously known as pfl RNA. ZMP is also known as AICAR. The record is from RNAcentral. Lineage: Bacteria; Pseudomonadati; Pseudomonadota; Betaproteobacteria; Burkholderiales; Burkholderiaceae.
UCCAUCUUGCGCGACUGGCGAAGUCAGUGGGCACUACCACGAGGAAGCGCAAGUUCUCUGGCGUGAAGUUUCCAACGCCAUGGCGUUGACGCGAGUCAUGCCUGCCGCUCGCCUGGGCAGCGAAU